ACGGCGAGUGAAGCGGCAACAGCUCAAAUUUGAAAUCUGGCUCUUUCAGGGUCCGAGUUGUAAUUUGUAGAAGAUGUUUCGAGUGUGGCUCCGGUCUAAGUUCCUUGGAACAGGACGUCAUAGAGGGUGAGAAUCCCGUAUGUGACUGGUUGCCUUCGCUCAUGUGAAACUCUUUCGACGAGUCGAGUUGUUUGGGAAUGCAGCUCAAAAUGGGUGGUAAAUUUCAUCUAAAGCUAAAUAUUGGCCAGAGACCGAUAGCGCACAAGUAGAGUGAUCGAAAGAUGAAAAGCACUUUGGAAAGAGAGUUAAACAGUACGUGAAAUUGUUGAAAGGGAAGCGCUUGCAACCAGACUUGCGCGUGGUUGAUCAUCCGGGGUUCUCCCCGGUGCACUCGAUCACGCUCAGGCCAGCAUCGGUUUGGGUGGUUGGAUAAAGGCCUUGGGAAUGUGGCUUCCUUCGGGGAGUGUUAUAGCCCUCGGUGCAAUGCAGCCUACCCGGACCGAGGACCGCGCUUCGGCUAGGAUGCUGGCGUAAUGGUUGUAAGCGACCCGUCUUGA
This 557-nucleotide ribosomal RNA is filed under the name Stipitochalara longipes. RNAcentral describes it as "eukaryotic LSU rRNA". It matches the Rfam family "Eukaryotic large subunit ribosomal RNA", at positions 86 to 657 of the family's 3401-position model. Lineage: Eukaryota; Fungi; Ascomycota; Leotiomycetes; Helotiales; Hamatocanthoscyphaceae. The record is from RNAcentral.